CAUUCCUCGGAAAAUCUGAACAAAAUGAGUAAAAACUCACUACCGUUAUUC
This 51-nucleotide small nucleolar RNA is filed under the name Propithecus coquereli (Coquerel's sifaka). RNAcentral describes it as "Small nucleolar RNA SNORD116 (ENSPCOG00000008982.1)". It matches the Rfam family "Small nucleolar RNA SNORD116", at positions 26 to 75 of the family's 92-position model. Rfam says of the family: HBII-85 is a member of the C/D class of snoRNAs, which contain the C (UGAUGA) and D (CUGA) box motifs. The record is from RNAcentral. Lineage: Eukaryota; Metazoa; Chordata; Mammalia; Primates; Indriidae.